UACAGAGGCUACGAGCGUUAGGCGGAAUCACUGGGCUUAAAGCGUGUGUAGGUGGAUUGGUAAGUAUCUUGUGAAAUCCCACAGCUCAACUGUGGAACUGCUGGAUAUACUGCCAGUCUUGAGGCACUCAGGGGCGAGCGGAACAGAUGGUGGAGCGGUGAAAUGCAUAGAUAUCAUCUGGAACGCCAAUGGUGAAGACAGCUCGCUGGGGGUGUACUGACACUGAGACACGAAAGCCAGAGGAGCAAACGGG
This 253-nucleotide ribosomal RNA is filed under the name uncultured bacterium. RNAcentral's name for it is "partial 16S ribosomal RNA". It matches the Rfam family "Bacterial small subunit ribosomal RNA", at positions 524 to 776 of the family's 1533-position model. The record is from RNAcentral.